GCUCUGGUCGGAAACCAGAGUCGUUAGAAGGAG
RNAcentral lists this non-coding RNA (33 nucleotides) under Atopobium fossor DSM 15642. Its description in RNAcentral is "L31-Coriobacteria ribosomal protein leader". It matches the Rfam family "L31-Coriobacteria ribosomal protein leader". The record is from RNAcentral. Lineage: Bacteria; Bacillati; Actinomycetota; Coriobacteriia; Coriobacteriales; Atopobiaceae.